Molecule: non-coding RNA, 124 nt
Organism: Cinara cedri
Lineage: Eukaryota; Metazoa; Arthropoda; Insecta; Hemiptera; Aphididae
Source: the annotation of a GenBank genome assembly
UUUGGAGGGAAUGUCAUAGGGUCGAUAUAAAAGAUACAAAAUCUUUCUUUUUCUUUUGUUUUUAAAUAACUGUAACUUGUUUAAUAGUUCAUGAUUCAAAAAACCCUAUGACAUUCCCUCCAAA